This 465-nucleotide ribosomal RNA is filed under the name Vreelandella stevensii. RNAcentral's name for it is "partial 16S ribosomal RNA". It matches the Rfam family "Bacterial small subunit ribosomal RNA", at positions 338 to 795 of the family's 1533-position model. The record is from RNAcentral. Lineage: Bacteria; Pseudomonadati; Pseudomonadota; Gammaproteobacteria; Oceanospirillales; Halomonadaceae.
CCUACGGGUGGCUGCAGUGGGGAAUAUUGGACAGUGGGGGCAACCCUGAUCCAGCCAUGCCGCGUGUGUGAAGAAGGCCCUCGGGUUGUAAAGCACUUUCAGUGAGGAAGAACGCCUGGUGGUUAAUACCCAUCAGGAAAGACAUCACUCACAGAAGAAGCACCGGCUAACUCCGUGCCAGCAGCCGCGGUAAUACGGAGGGUGCGAGCGUUAAUCGGAAUUACUGGGCGUAAAGCGCGCGUAGGUGGCUUGAUAAGCCGGUUGUGAAAGCCCCGGGCUCAACCUGGGAACGGCAUCCGGAACUGUCAAGCUAGAGUGCAGGAGAGGAAGGUAGAAUUCCCGGUGUAGCGGUGAAAUGCGUAGAGAUCGGGAGGAAUACCAGUGGCGAAGGCGGCCUUCUGGACUGACACUGACACUGAGGUGCGAAAGCGUGGGUAGCAAACAGGAUUAGAUACCCUAGUAGUC